GAUGAACGCUGGCGGCGUGCCUAAUACAUGCAAGUCGAGCGAACGGACGAGAAGCUUGCUUCUCUGAUGUUAGCGGCGGACGGGUGAGUAACACGUGGAUAACCUACCUAUAAGACUGGGAUAACUUCGGGAAACCGGAGCUAAUACCGGAUAAUAUUUUGAACCGCAUGGUUCAAAAGUGAAAGACGGUCUUGCUGUCACUUAUAGAUGGAUCCGCGCUGCAUUAGCUAGUUGGUAAGGUAACGGCUUACCAAGGCAACGAUGCAUAGCCGACCUGAGAGGGGGAGCGGCGACAGUGGAACAGAGACACGGGGCAGACACCUACGGGAGGCGGCGGUAGGGAAGAGUCCGCAAUGGGUGAAAGUCUGAAGGAGCACUGAUGAGGGAAGAAUGAAGGUUUACGUAUCGGAAAACUGUGUUAUUAGGGAAGAACAGAUGGGUAAGGAACUGGGCAGAGCGUGACGGUACCUAAUCAGAAAGCCACGGCUAACUACGUG
RNAcentral lists this ribosomal RNA (497 nucleotides) under uncultured bacterium. RNAcentral describes it as "partial 16S ribosomal RNA". It matches the Rfam family "Bacterial small subunit ribosomal RNA", at positions 28 to 507 of the family's 1533-position model. The record is from RNAcentral.